UACGGAGGGUGCAAGCGUUAUCCGGAUUCACUGGGUUUAAAGGGUGCGUAGGCGGCCCGCUAAGUCGAACGUGAAAUCCCCGAGCUCAACUCGGGAACUGCGUCCGAUACUGGUGGGCUUGAAUCCGGGAGAGGGAUGCGGAAUUCCAGGUGUAGCGGUGAAAUGCGUAGAUAUCUGGAGGAACACCGGUGGCGAAGGCGGCAUCCUGGACCGGCAUUGACGCUGAGGCGCGAAAGCUAGGGGAGCAAACGGG
Molecule: ribosomal RNA, 253 nt
Filed under: uncultured bacterium
Lineage: Bacteria
Description: partial 16S ribosomal RNA
Rfam family: Bacterial small subunit ribosomal RNA
Source: RNAcentral